This is a long non-coding RNA of Ochotona curzoniae (black-lipped pika), 806 nucleotides long. RefSeq lists it as uncharacterized. The transcript has 2 exons. The record is from RefSeq and is a predicted model, not a curated record. Lineage: Eukaryota; Metazoa; Chordata; Mammalia; Lagomorpha; Ochotonidae.
ACGCACAUGCAAGUGACUGUAAUCCGCUGUGGUAAGGGUUGGGAGAGAAUCUAUGACUAUUGGUAAAGAUGACAAAGCUGAAGAAUACAGAGGACCACACCAAACAGGAGGUUUUUAAUAAUCAACAAAUCCAAGGACUGGCUUAGCUGACCAGCGGUUCGUCAGUCCUAGAAGUCCCAGGGCAGCGAAGGAAGGCUGCAGGUGGCAGAAAGCAUGGGGAAUGUUGCCAAGAACCCGGAUCUUGGGAUCUGCCAUCUCCAGGCACGGUCCUCACAGGCAGAUAACAAGGUAACUGCAACAGCUACUGCCUAUGCAGGUGCACACCUCACUCCUAACGCAAGCUGCAGCUCUCCUCCAGGCUCCAGGCUUCCACAAGAGGAUAAAAUCCAACCCUUCCACAGACAAUGGCAUUUCUCAAAGAAAGUCGUUUCCCAAGGAAAUUCAGCUAUCACCUCUGCCUGGUCACCCAGGAAGCUAACCCGCCGGUGACACUCUCACUUUCCCCUCACAGUCCCACGUGUCCCAGGAAGUUCUUCAGACCCCGGUGGCUGCGCAAGUCUGCCUCUGCCCUUAACACUUGCAGCAUGCCUUCUGUUGCAAUCCACUAAGCUGCCUUCUAGCUUCACGUGGGUGCACCUCACCGUGUCAAUAAGAACUUAAGGGCAAAAUUCAUGCAUUCCAUUGCUUUCGCUUCACCCACAGCACCAGUGAGAUAAAAAACUAAAUAGAUCUUCAAUGAUCACUUGUGUAAAUCUGAGCAUUUCCGGAACUAGAAAGGGAAAUAAAAAUCCUUUGCCUUUACUAUA